This 483-nucleotide ribosomal RNA is filed under the name uncultured bacterium. RNAcentral's name for it is "partial 16S ribosomal RNA". It matches the Rfam family "Bacterial small subunit ribosomal RNA", at positions 29 to 507 of the family's 1533-position model. The record is from RNAcentral.
AGUGAACGCUGGCGGCAGGCCUAACACAUGCAAGUCGAGCGGCAGCGCGGGGGCAACCCUGGCGGCGAGCGGCGGACGGGUGAGGAAUUCGUCGGAAUCUGCCUUUUUGUGGGGGAUAACGUAGGGAAACUUACGCUAAUACCGCAUACGUCCUACGGGAGAAAGUGGGGGACCGCAAGGCCUCACGCAGAAAGAUGAGCCGACGACCGAUUAGCUAGUUGGUGGGUAAAGGCCCACCAAGGCGACGAUCGGUAGCUGGUCUGAGAGGAUGUUCAGCCACACUGGGACUGAGACACGGCCCAGACUCCUACGGGAGGCAGCAGUGGGGAAUAUUGGACAAAGGGCGCAAGCCUGAUCCAGCCAUGCCGCGUGUGUGAAGAAGGCCUUCGGGUUGUAAAGCACUUUUGUCCGGAAAGAAAUCCCUGGAGCUAAUACCUUCGGGGGAUGACGGUACCGGAAGAAUAAGCACCGGCUAACUUCGUG